CAGUAGCCGCGGGAAUACGAAGGGGGCUAGCGUUGCUCGGAAUGACUGGGCGUAAAGGGCGCGUAGGCGGAUUGCGCAAUCAGAUGUGAAAUUCCUGGGCUUAACCUGGGGGCUGCAUUUGAGACGCGUAGUCUAGAGUGUGAAAGAGGGUCGUGGAAUUCCCAGUGUAGAGGUGAAAUUCGUAGAUAUUGGGAAGAACACCGGUGGCGAAGGCGGCGACCUGGUUCAUAACUGACGCUGAGGCGCGAAAGCGUGGGGAGCAAACAGGAUUAGAUACCCGAGUAGUCCCUGUCUCUUAUAA
This 301-nucleotide ribosomal RNA is filed under the name uncultured bacterium. RNAcentral describes it as "partial 16S ribosomal RNA". It matches the Rfam family "Bacterial small subunit ribosomal RNA", at positions 509 to 809 of the family's 1533-position model. The record is from RNAcentral.